RNAcentral lists this ribosomal RNA (751 nucleotides) under uncultured bacterium. RNAcentral's name for it is "bacterial SSU rRNA". It matches the Rfam family "Bacterial small subunit ribosomal RNA", at positions 65 to 817 of the family's 1533-position model. The record is from RNAcentral.
AGGGGUAUAUUUCUUCGGAGAUAGAGACCGGCGCACGGGUGCGUAACGCGUAUGCAAUCUACCUUUCACAGAGGGAUAGCCCAGAGAAAUUUGGAUUAAUACCUCAUAGUAUUACGAAAUGGCAUCAUUUUGUAAUUAAAGUCACAACGGUGAAAGAUGAGCAUGCGUCCCAUUAGCUAGUUGGUAAGGUAACGGCUUACCAAGGCUACGAUGGGUAGGGGUCCUGAGAGGGAGAUCCCCCACACUGGUACUGAGACACGGACCAGACUCCUACGGGAGGCAGCAGUGAGGAAUAUUGGACAAUGGGCGCAAGCCUGAUCCAGCCAUGCCGCGUGCAGGAUGACGGUCCUAUGGAUUGUAAACUGCUUUUGCACAGGAAGAAACAACGCUACGUGUAGCGUCUUGACGGUACUGUGAGAAUAAGGAUCGGCUAACUCCGUGCCAGCAGCCGCGGUAAUACGGAGGAUCCAAGCGUUAUCCGGAAUCAUUGGGUUUAAAGGGUCCGUAGGCGGUUUAGUAAGUCAGUGGUGAAAGCCCAUCGCUCAACGGUGGAACGGCCAUUGAUACUGCUAGACUUGAAUUAUUAGGAAGUAACUAGAAUAUGUAGUGUAGCGGUGAAAUGCUUAGAGAUUACAUGGAAUACCAAUUGCGAAAGCAGGUUACUACUAAUGGAUUGACGCUGAUGGACGAAAGCGUGGGUAGCGAACAGGAUUAGAUACCCUGGUAGUCCACGCCGUAAACGAUGGAUACU